GACGAACGCUGGCGGCGUGCUUAACACAUGCAAGUCGAACGGACGAGUGAGAUAAGUUUACUUAACUCACAAGUUAGUGGCGGACGGGUGAGUAACACGUGGAUAAUCUACCUGCAACACCGGGAUAACGCUGUGAAAACGGUGCUAAUACCGGAUACGUUCCCUUGUGCGCAUGUAUGAGGGAAGAAAGCUCAGGCGGUUGCAGAUGAGUCCGCGGCUGAUUAGCUAGUUGGUGAGGUAAAGGCUCACCAAGGCGAUGAUCAGUAGCCGGCCUGAGAGGGUGAACGGCCACACUGGGACUGAGACACGGCCCAGACUCCUACGGGAGGCAGCAGUGGGGAAUCUUCCGCAAUGGGCGCAAGCCUGACGGAGCAACGCCGCGUGGGUGAAGAAGGCCUCGGUUGUAAGCCUGCUUAUGGAGAAAAAUAGAAGGUACCAGAGGAGGAAGACCCCGGCUAACCUACGUAGCCACGGCAGCCGCGGUAAACGAGUAGUACA
This 498-nucleotide ribosomal RNA is filed under the name uncultured bacterium. Its description in RNAcentral is "bacterial SSU rRNA". It matches the Rfam family "Bacterial small subunit ribosomal RNA", at positions 28 to 536 of the family's 1533-position model. The record is from RNAcentral.